Molecule: long non-coding RNA, 366 nt
Organism: Gorilla gorilla gorilla (western lowland gorilla)
Lineage: Eukaryota; Metazoa; Chordata; Mammalia; Primates; Hominidae
Exons: 3
Source: RefSeq, a predicted model, not a curated record
CGUUUUGUUGUUUGCAUUAGCAGAAGGACCACAGCCAUCGCCCGUCUCCCAUCUCCAAGAUGGCGGAGGCAGCUUCAACCUCACCUCUCGCGAGGGGUGCGUCCCACUGUCUCUGAUUAGCCCCGAGGUCAGAGGUAUCACAAGUUUCUGUGAGAGCCAACGUGACAGAUUUUUAGCAAUGAAAAAAGACACGCUCGCCAAAUCAUCUCAAUUGCCAACGCAGAAGCGUUUUAUAUAUAUACACAACAAGAAAACCACCAUCUACAAACCAUGAAGCCAAGUCUCCCUGGACACCAGAUCUGACAACACCUUGAUCUUAAGACCUCCCAGCCUCUCGAACUGUGAGAAAUAAAUGUUUAUUGUUUA